RNAcentral lists this ribosomal RNA (696 nucleotides) under uncultured bacterium. Its description in RNAcentral is "bacterial SSU rRNA". It matches the Rfam family "Bacterial small subunit ribosomal RNA", at positions 125 to 817 of the family's 1533-position model. The record is from RNAcentral.
CCUACCUUUAACUCUGGGAUAGCCCGAAGAAAUUCGGAUUGAAUACCGGAUAAUAUCAAGAUAUGACAUCACAGCUUGAUUAAAGGCGCGAGUUGGUUAAAGAUGGGCAUGCGUCCCAUUAGUUAGUUGGGGAGGUAACGGCUCACCAAGGCGAUGAUGGGUAGGGGCUCUGAGAGGAUUACCCCCCACAUUGGUACUGAGACAGGGACCAAACUCCUACGGGAGGCAGCAGUGAGGAAUAUUGGGCAAUGGACGGAAGUCUGACCCAGCCAUGCCGCGUGCAGGAAGACGGCCUUAUGGGUUGUAAACUGCUUUUAUGUAGGGAAAAAGUUCAUAUUGCGAUAUGAUUUGAUGGUACUACAGGAAUAAGAAUCGGCUAACUCCGUGCCAGCAGCCGCGGUAAUACGGAGGAUUCGAGCGUUAUCCGGAUUUAUUGGGUUUAAAGGGUGCGCAGGCGGACUAUUAAGUCAGUGGUGAAAUUUUCCGGCUCAACCGGGACAGUGCCAUUGAUACUGAUAGACUAAGUAUAAUUGACGUAUGUGGAAUGUAGCAUGUAGCGGUGAAAUGCAUAGAGAUGCUACAGAACACCGAUAGCGAAGGCAGCAUACGAAGCUAUAACUGACGCUCAUGCACGAAAGCGUGGGGAUCAAACAGGAUUAAAUACCCUGGUAGUCCACGCUGUAAACGAUGAUAACU